ACCUCAGAUCAGGUAGGGAUACCCGCUGAACUUAAGCAUAUCAAUAAGCGGAGGA
RNAcentral lists this ribosomal RNA (55 nucleotides) under Peziza echinospora. RNAcentral's name for it is "partial 28S ribosomal RNA". RNAcentral also lists the same sequence under 1 other name. The record is from RNAcentral. Lineage: Eukaryota; Fungi; Ascomycota; Pezizomycetes; Pezizales; Pezizaceae.